UAGGGAAUCUUCGGCAAUGGGGGGAACCCUGACCGAGCAACGCCGCGUGAGUGAAGAAGGUUUUCGGAUCGUAAAGCUCUGUUGUUAAGGAAGAACGAGUGUGAGAAUGGAAAGUUCAUGCUGUGACGGUACUUAACCAGAAAGGGACGGCUAACUACUUGCCAGCAGCCGCGGUAAUACGUAGGUCCCGAGCGUUGUCCGGAUUUAUUGGGCGUAAAGCGAGCGCAGGCGGGUAGAAAAGUCUGAAGUGAAAGGCAGUGGCUCAACCAUUGUAGGCUUUUGAAAAAGGUUAACUUGAGUGCAGAAGGGGAGAGUGGAAUUCCAUGUGUCGCGGUGAAAUGCGUAGAUAUAUGGAGGAACACCGGUGGCGAAAGCGGCUCUCUGGUCUGUAACUGACGCUGAGGCUCGAAAGCGUGGGGAGCGAACAGG
RNAcentral lists this ribosomal RNA (429 nucleotides) under Bacteroidota bacterium. RNAcentral's name for it is "Bacteroidetes bacterium partial 16S ribosomal RNA". It matches the Rfam family "Bacterial small subunit ribosomal RNA", at positions 355 to 776 of the family's 1533-position model. Lineage: Bacteria; Pseudomonadati; Bacteroidota. The record is from RNAcentral.